CAUAGUGAAGGCAAAUGGAUCAGACUGAGGAUGGUAUGCUGCCAGAAGAUAUGGAUCAGAAGCAGUCAUCCUCUGUGGGCUGGAAAGUGUCAGAGUUGUUAUCUUUCACAAAUAUCAAAAAUGAGCGGCAGAAUUACCUUUCACUUCUGGAGCAAACACACAUUUCUCUCUUCCAUACCAUACAGUCAGCAAUAAGAUCUAAUGACUGGGAUGCUGCAGCACGUCACAAAUGCAGCUGUCUUUACAAGUGUUUCAGUGGAGAGAUAUUAUGCAAAAUACAGUAUUUAAGGAAAGAGAAAAGGAGCACGCCAACAUCAGAGACUCCUGUUUCCAAAUUGCAUGCUUCUGAAGUGCCAGAAAUACCAUAUGUCGUCUUCCAUAACCUGAGGGAACUGCAAUGGAAACUGUAUAAAGGCAUUGUGAAGAGGAAGGAGUCCAGCCGAAUUUUUUGGAGAGAAGCAAAUUACGGAAGUUCUACAAUAUUAGAUGGAACAGAUGUGAAGACACACUACAACCUCCCUUUGAUUUUUGAAGAUUCAGUAAUUUUGUCAGUUUAUCCUGCAUAUCCUGUUCUACGUCUUGAAUUUAAAAGGGAAUAACUGCAGCUCGGAAGAGGAAGCGAAUAAAACUGGAAUUGCCUUAGGCA
RNAcentral lists this long non-coding RNA (646 nucleotides) under Phasianus colchicus (ring-necked pheasant). Its description in RNAcentral is "lncRNA (ENSPCLG00000012605.1)". The record is from RNAcentral. Lineage: Eukaryota; Metazoa; Chordata; Aves; Galliformes; Phasianidae.